AAAAUGGGAGACACACAUCAACCUGCAAAGCAAAGACAGAAAGCAAAUUUCAAUUAGUGAACAAAGAAUUUAACUAAUAAUUCUCAGUCCUAGCAAUAUAAAAGAAUUCUAAAAUGCAACAAAACAAAAAUAUAAUAUAAACAAUAAAAUCUGAAGAAACAAGAAUAUACCAUGCUAAAAUACAAAUUUAACAAGUGAAAAUAAUUGUAUAAAUUAGACAAUAAAGCUAUAUUUAAGAUCAUUAUGUAGAUGCAAAUAUGCAAUUCAAAUACUUCAAGAAACUUGACAAUUCACCUUGCUUGACCCUUCUUUGAGAUUUCCACUUCAUAUAAAUAUAGUUAUGACCAAACACAAUGGCUUGACUUUCUGUCUAAUCUAAUACAAAAAGAACCAAUAAUCCUAAAUCAGAUCUACUUCUUCUAAAAUUGAAUUUUACUUAAAUUCUAGUCUACCAAUUUUUCUUCUAUAAAUGUUUGAUUGAUGGGCCCUCUUCAAAUGUGCAAUUUAUUACAUAGACACAAAGUUCAGAAAUGACAUGGACUGCCAGCAUCCAAAAGUUCUUGUGAUACUUCAUGAGAUAAUAUGAAUGAAUUCAUAUAAUACUUCCAGUAUUCUACCUUCCUCAGAGAAAGCA
RNAcentral lists this unclassified non-coding RNA (634 nucleotides) under Hevea brasiliensis (rubber tree). Lineage: Eukaryota; Viridiplantae; Streptophyta; Magnoliopsida; Malpighiales; Euphorbiaceae. The record is from RNAcentral.